This 74-nucleotide transfer RNA is filed under the name bacterium. RNAcentral describes it as "tRNA-Val". It matches the Rfam family "tRNA". From Rfam's summary of the family: Transfer RNA (tRNA) molecules are approximately 80 nucleotides in length. Their secondary structure includes four short double-helical elements and three loops (D, anti-codon, and T loops). RNAcentral also lists the same sequence under 2 other names. The record is from RNAcentral.
GGGCGGUUAGCUCAGUUGGUUAGAGCAUCUGCUUUACACGCAGAGGGUCACUGGUUCGAAUCCAGUACUGCCCA